GGUACCUACGGGGCGCAGCAGUAGGGAAUUUUCGCCAAUGGGCGCAAGCCUGAACGAGCAAUGCCGCGUGAACGAGGAAGGUCUUCGGAUCGUAAAGUUCUGUUGAAGGGGAAAAAGAGCGGAGAGAGGAAAUGGACUCCGAUUGAUAUUACCCUUCGCGGAAGUCACGGCUAACUACGUGCCAGCAGCCGCGGUAAUACGUAGGUGGCGAGCGUUAUCCGGAAUGAUUGGGCGUAAAGGGUGCGUAGGCGGCCUGCUAAGUC
Molecule: ribosomal RNA, 263 nt
Filed under: uncultured bacterium
Lineage: Bacteria
Description: partial 16S ribosomal RNA
Rfam family: Bacterial small subunit ribosomal RNA
Source: RNAcentral